Molecule: ribosomal RNA, 464 nt
Filed under: uncultured bacterium
Lineage: Bacteria
Description: bacterial SSU rRNA
Rfam family: Bacterial small subunit ribosomal RNA
Source: RNAcentral
UCCAGACUCCUACGGGAGGCAGCAGUGAGGAAUAUUGGUCAAUGGCCGAGAGGCUGAACCAGCCAAGUCGCGUGAGGGAUGACGGCCCUACGGGUUGUAAACCUCUUUUGUCGGGGAGCAAAAGACGCCACGCGUGGCGUUCCGAGAGUACCCGAAGAAAAAGCAUCGGCUAACUCCGUGCCAGCAGCCGCGGUAAUACGGAGGAUGCGAGCGUUAUCCGGAUUUAUUGGGUUUAAAGGGUGCGCAGGCGGAGGUGCAAGUCAGCGGUCAAAUUGCGGGGCUCAACCCCGUACUGCCGUUGAAACUGCAUCCCUUGAGUGCGCGAGAAGUAUGCGGAAUGCGUGGUGUAGCGGUGAAAUGCAUAGAUAUCACGCAGAACUCCGAUUGCGAAGGCAGCAUGCCGGCUCCACACUGACGCUGAGGCACGAAAGCGUGGGUAUCGAACAGGAUUAGAUACCCCAGUA